UUCCCUUCCUCUUCCCCUGCCUCCCCCAGCUUCUCCUCCAGCUUCUUUUCAUCUUCUCUCGGUGGAUGGAUGAUAGCUCUCCAGGUUGCAGCUCUCCAGGUUGCAGCUCUUCAGGUCAAGGAUCUUGUCUCAUGCCUAGGAGGAAGAUCCUUAAAAUGCAACACUAAUCUCAUCUGGCUGCUGGGAUGUGAGUUGCAGAAGGCAGAGGUUUUGCUUUUGUUUGUUUGUUGUUUAUUCACUCCUGUACAGUCAAUAUCAAGAUCAAUUCCUCACAUAUGAUAGCUGCUCAAUAAAAGUCUGUUGAAUUUU
This is a long non-coding RNA of Carlito syrichta (Philippine tarsier), 309 nucleotides long. RefSeq lists it as uncharacterized. Lineage: Eukaryota; Metazoa; Chordata; Mammalia; Primates; Tarsiidae. The record is from RefSeq and is a predicted model, not a curated record. The transcript has 3 exons.